GGACUCGUAGCUCAGCUUGGUUAGAUCCUGAAAACGAGGUUUUCAGAUUUUGCCUCGUGGAGACAAAAGCGCUACGCUGAUAACGUAGAGGUCGGGAGUUCAAAAGACCGACGUGCACGAAGUGUACGUCUCUGUGAUUCUCCCCGGGUCCACCA
RNAcentral lists this transfer RNA (155 nucleotides) under archaeon. RNAcentral's name for it is "tRNA-Ile". The record is from RNAcentral.